GGGGAAUUUUGGACAAUGGGGGCAACCCUGAUCCAGCCAUGCCGCGUGAGUGAAGAAGGCCUUCGGGUUGUAAAGCUCUUUCGGACGGAAAGAAAUCGCCGCCUCUAACAUAGGCGGUGGAUGACGGUACCGUAAGAAGAAGCACCGGCUAACUACGUGCCAGCAGCCGCGGUAAUACGUAGGGUGCGAGCGUUAAUCGGAAUUACUGGGCGUAAAGCGUGCGCAGGCGGUUUGGUAAGACAGGUGUGAAAUCCCCGGGCUUAACCUGGGAACUGCAUUCAAAAAUGACUGGAUAGAGUAUGGUAGGGGGUGGUGGAAUUUCCUGUGUAGCGGUGAAAUGCGUAGAUAUAGGAAGGAACACCAGUGGCGAAGGCGACCACCUGGACUGAUACUGACACUGAGGUGCGAAAGCGUGGGAGCAAACA
Molecule: ribosomal RNA, 425 nt
Filed under: uncultured beta proteobacterium
Lineage: Bacteria; Pseudomonadati; Pseudomonadota; Betaproteobacteria
Description: bacterial SSU rRNA
Rfam family: Bacterial small subunit ribosomal RNA
Source: RNAcentral